RNAcentral lists this ribosomal RNA (407 nucleotides) under uncultured bacterium. Its description in RNAcentral is "bacterial SSU rRNA". It matches the Rfam family "Bacterial small subunit ribosomal RNA", at positions 29 to 480 of the family's 1533-position model. The record is from RNAcentral.
AGCGAACGCUGGCGGCAGGCCUAACACAUGCAAGUCGAGCGCCCGUAGCAAUACGGGAGCGGCAGACGGGAUAGUAACACGUGGGAACGUACCCUUCAGUUCGGAACAACCCAGGGAAACUUGGGCUAAUACCGAAUACGUCCGUAAGGAGAAAGAUUUAUCGCUGAAGGAUCGGCCCGCGUCUGAUUAGCUAGUUGGUGGGGUAAUGGCCCACCAAGGCGACGAUCAGUAGCUGGUCGAGAGGAUGAUCAGCAUCACUGGGACUGAGACACGGCCCAGACUCCUACGGGAGGCAGCAGUGGGGAAUAUUGGACAAUGGGCGCAAGCCUGAUCCAGCCAUGCCGCGUGGAUGAUGAAGGCCCUAGGGUUGUAAAGCUCUUUUGUGCGGGAAGAUAAUGACGGUACCG